GGAUGAACGCUAGCGGCAGGCUUAACACAUGCAAGUCGAGGGGUAUAGUUCUUCGGAAUUAGAGACCGGCGCACGGGUGCGUAACGCGUAUGCAAUCUACCUUUCACAAAGGGAUAGCCCAGAGAAAUUUGGAUUAAUACCUUAUAGUAAUACGACUUGGCAUCAAGAUGUAUUUAAAGAUUUAUCGGUGAAAGAUGAGCAUGCGUCCCAUUAGCUUGUUGGUAAGGUAACGGCUUACCAAGGCAACGAUGGGUAGGGGUCCUGAGAGGGAGAUCCCCCACACUGGUACUGAGACACGGACCAGACUCCUACGGGAGGCAGCAGUGAGGAAUAUUGGACAAUGGGCGCAAGCCUGAUCCAGCCAUGCCGCGUGCAGGAUGACGGUCCUAUGGAUUGUAAACUGCUUUUGUACAGGAAGAAACCCUUUCACGUGUGGAAGAUUGACGGUACUGUAAGAAUAAGGAUCGGCUAACUCCGUG
This 479-nucleotide ribosomal RNA is filed under the name uncultured bacterium. Its description in RNAcentral is "bacterial SSU rRNA". It matches the Rfam family "Bacterial small subunit ribosomal RNA", at positions 27 to 507 of the family's 1533-position model. The record is from RNAcentral.